RNAcentral lists this unclassified non-coding RNA (1623 nucleotides) under Polistes fuscatus (common paper wasp). RNAcentral's name for it is "serine/threonine-protein kinase NLK, transcript variant X2". The record is from RNAcentral. Lineage: Eukaryota; Metazoa; Arthropoda; Insecta; Hymenoptera; Vespidae.
UUUGAUGGCAGUAGUUGGGCCCAGCCGGCACUCCCGGGUGUCCAUGAGCGUGUCUAUGUCGCUGAUGCAGGGGGGCGGGGCGGGGACGACAGGUGGAGGCGGGACGACGGGGCCCGGGGCCCACCCGGGCCAGGCGGUCCUCGCGGCCGCCGCUGCCGCCGCCGCCGCGGCGGUGAACCAACCGACCCCCACCUAUUAUCACCCCGCCGCACCCGCGCCACCCCCACCGCCGCCGCCCGCGCAGGAUCCCGUCCAACCCGACAGACCCAUCGGCUACGGCGCCUUCGGUGUCGUCUGGGCUGUCACGGAUCCCAGGGACGGUAGGAGAGUGGCCUUAAAGAAACUGCCGAACGUCUUUCAAAGCCUCGUCAGCAGCAAGCGCGUUUUCAGAGAGCUGAAGAUGCUCUGUUUCUUCAAACACGAAAACGUUCUCUCAGCCCUGGAUAUCUUACAACCACCGCAUCUCGACUUCUUCCAAGAAAUAUAUGUGAUCACGGAGCUACUCCAAAGCGAUCUUCAUAAGAUCAUCGUCAGCCCACAGCACCUCAGCCCAGAUCACAUCAAGGUCUUCCUUUAUCAGAUCCUUCGAGGUCUGAAGUACCUUCACUCAGCCAGAAUUCUGCAUAGAGAUAUCAAGCCAGGGAAUCUUUUAGUAAACAGCAAUUGCGUUUUAAAAAUCUGUGAUUUUGGAUUGGCCCGCGUGGAAGAGCCCGACCAGAACAAGCACAUGACUCAGGAAGUGGUGACGCAGUAUUAUCGUGCCCCGGAAAUUUUGAUGGGUGCACGACACUACACCGCAGCCGUCGAUGUUUGGAGCGUCGGUUGCAUUUUCGGCGAGCUUCUUCGUCGACGAAUUCUCUUUCAAGCUCAGAGUCCUGUGCAACAGUUGGAAUUGAUCACAGAACUGCUAGGCACCCCAACCCUCGAGGACAUGAGGUACGCUUGCGAGGGUGCAAGGACUCACAUGCUGAGGCGUGCACCGAAACCACCCUCGUUGACGGCUCUCUAUACCCUCAGCAGCCAGGCGACGCACGAGGCCGUCCAUUUGCUCUGCCAGAUGCUAGUCUUCGAUCCUGACAAGAGGAUCACCGUGGUGGAUGCCCUUGCGCAUCCUUAUCUGGACGAGGGAAGACUUAGAUAUCACUCGUGCAUGUGCACGUGUUGCUACACAACGAGUGCUGGGAUGAGACAGUACACUGGGGAUUUCGAGCCAGCUACGACUCAUUCUUUCGACGAUCUCUGGGAGCGGAAAUUGACGAGCGUGCAGCAGGUGAAAGAGGAAAUGCACAAAUUUAUAGCGGAGCAGCUGAACACAUCGCGCGUGCCGCUCUGCAUAAAUCCGCAGUCCGCGGCAUUCAAGAGCUUCGCAAGCGCAAGAGUUAAAAGUGAAGAAAAAAAUGGAAAAGAGAAAGAAGCGAGGAUAAAAAGGAGGAGAAAUUAAAAAAGAAGAUGGAAGAGAAGUGAACACUUUCUGGUGGUGGGGUGGGACGGCAAGAAUAAAAACUCGACGGUGGCCCAUCCUUCGGAACUGCCACCCUCUCCUCACCAAUGGGAAUAAAUCUUCUCCGUGGAAUAAGAAAGACAUACAAAAUAAGAAAAACACUAACAAAGAAUAAAUGAAAA